ACUUAUUUAUUCCCCAAAGCUUGUGAAAUAUAAUACUACGGGGGGGAGGGACCAGAAUCCAAACAGAAAAAUAUGAUAAAGAAAAUUACUCAUUCUCAUUACAGAUGGUAUAUUUUACCUGGUGUGCUGUAGUGAAAGCUGGCAUACAUAAGACCAAGAUAAAGCUACAAAGGCUGCAGGGUGUAACUGCUGAAGCUACAGUAGCUACAGUGGGAGGAUACUCAGCAUCAAGCUGUCAGGAAUAGUGGAAACAGUAAAGCAAACCAUCAACCAGCCAACCUUGUAAUUGUCUGUACUCUUCUACGGUUAAUAUUGGUUUUAAUGUUAGUAUUUAAUUUGUUCAGCUAUGCUUUCACUGGUUUUAGGCAGAUAAUCAACUGUAAAUUCAUAGUUUUCACCAUUCUAGGUUUAAGCUUGGUAAAAAGUUUAUUUGCAGCUGUACUCUGUUGUUAAGUGCCAUGACAUGGAAAAGCUGAACAGUUUAUAUUUGUGCCUUUCAACUCUUCCAUUUAAUGCGCUGCUACAUAACAGGAAGAUAUGUUUUCUGAUUACCUGCUUUCUUAACGUUGUAAUCUCUUAAAUACUUCAUUCCUGAAAUAUUUCAGCUAUGCAGACCACCCAGAAGGGCUCAGCAGACAACAAGUUACAAGCCAGUGAUUUUCUCUUCGACUCCUCAUGUUACUGUGUCAAGCAGUAGAGAGAAGAACUAACACAGGAAUAUAUACAGAAGGAACAGAGAGCCAGCUGCAGUGACAGAAGGGUGAAUAAUAAGACUCUUCAAAAAAAAGCAUAUUGAUAAAACUAUUAGUUUGAGUGCUAACUGACAAAGAGUGGAAGCUCUGAGCAAGAUGCUGGAUCAUUCCUUCCACCACCACAGGGACCCUACAGGGAUCUGAGGAACGGUACUUGUAUGCUGAUGAGAAUACAAAUACGACAUGCAUCUCCCCCUUAAAGAAUACACUGAGUGCAGCCAAGCUCCUGAGGAACAGCACAGCGCAAAGCUUAAGUACAAGUUGCCAUACAAUCCAAACAAGACAUGCAGAAUUUUACUGUACUGAUAAGCAUUCUAAAAUACAAUUAAAUCUGACAUCAUCUGAAACCACCGAGGAAAACAGAGAACUGUCUGUUUAAACUCUUUAAGAACCAAAUGGGAAUGAGAUACGACCUGAGGUCUUCAUCUUGAAACUCGGGCUUCUAGUGAGUCAGUAGGACUGCCUGCAGGAAUGGAAGUUCUUACUGUUUUAAUGCCCUUCUAAAUCAGUUGUACAGUAUGGAAAUAAGGAUAUUCUACUUCACUUGACAGAAGCACCAGUGGCAACGAGAAUGUUAGAAAAGGUGGCAAUAUGCAGAGGCUGAAUGAAAUGACCCUUCAUUAGUAAUUACCCUGAAUCCCCAAUAUAAUGAGGAUUCUUUUGAUAAGCCAAUCUUAAGGCUACAUAAGAAUAAAUAUAUGUAUCCUAAAUUAGGUCAAGAGAUCUGAACUACUCACCCUCUUCUUAGUAACUGAAAUGACAUUGAUUAAAGUCACCAGCCGAAAGCUGUAGAGGUUAAAUCUUUUUUAUUUUUUAAGUUUUUUGCUAUCUCCAGCAGUGAAAAUACUCAUAAUAGUAUCUCUUGUUUCAGUGCUGUACUAGGAUUAUUUUUAUAGUUUCUAAAAUUCUUGAGAACACUUCCUGAAAGAAAAGAUGCAGUUGGGGAAUUCCAGAGAAGCAACAAAACCAACUAAAUGAAUCGUUUACUGCUGGUCACUGUGUAUAUCUGCUAAUAUGGGAGGAAAAGCUGAUCAGAAUAGCAUAGAAAGCAGCAAGAGAGAAUUUUUUUUGUUGCUUCUAGUCACAAAUUCAGGCCUGCUGACUGCUAAUUCUGAGCUGAUUAGAGAAACUGAAGUAAAAGAGAGAUGUUGGCAGUGACCACUGUUCUUGCUAGCAAUGCCAGAACUGGCCAUUCUGUAGCUCUUGCCAAACACACAAUCCUUUGCCCAGACCAGUCCAAAGCUGGACUGGUAUCAGCAGAAUCUCUCCAUCUGGAUUGCUCCCAAAAUGAAGAUGACAGAAGGGUAUUUGUAAUGUUUGCAAUGCUUUGCCUUGCCUUUUCUGGUUGCCAGAACAGUGAUGGCUGAAUGAGCUUAAAGAAACUGAGAUGGUGCCAGUUACACAUCAUUAUGUGUUUUAACACACUGAAUAUGAGAGCGAGCAAGUCUAAGGUGCUACUCUAUACCUUCUACAAUGGGAAAAACUUCUCUGCUUCCAAGCGGCUGGGCAUGCUUUCACGCACAGUGGAAGUGUACUAUAUUAUAGAACUAUUACUUAAAGACAGAAUGUCUUGGGGUUUGCCAUAAUGUCUUUUAAAAAACUGUCCCCUUAAAAAAUAAAGUAUUUUGGUAUCUUAAAAUUGGUACCUGAUUUUUUUUUUUUUUCAUAAGAACAUAAUGCCAACAUAAACUUCUAUUUGUUAAACCACAAAUCUCUCACUUCUUUGCAGGGGAAUCCUGAGUCCAGGAUAGAUAAUAACGAUGGACCUGGCCGAGGUGUUCAAGUCUGACGUUUGGAAUGUCAUGUUCAAUCCUUUAAGGAGGAUAAAGCAAUGAUAUCAGAUCAAAACACAGAUAUGACAGUUUAAACUUACAGGCAUCUUCUCUUGUCUCCUAUAAUUCUGUUGCUCAAUUACAGUGUGAGCGCCCUGGCAGAUAAAGCAGUACUUAAUAGCAAUCUGUUUUUCAACACUCAUGUGGCACAUGUUCAGAUGAAUGUACUUGAGCAUCAGUCACCAUUCAGUGAAUGAUAUUUUAUUCAGUAUAAACUACUCAGAAUGCAAGAACUGCAAUAAAAAGUUAUUAAAUUAGUUACAAAAGAAAGUAUUAGAAGCUCACCCUCUGAGAAUCCAGUACAAAUACAACACAUGCCUGUAGGAAUGGAAAUACAAAAAGAAAGUCCUGAAUUUAUUAUAUGUAGAGGGCAUAAUACAAGUGCGUUGCUGCUGACUGUAAAAGAUGAUCCUAAGUGUAAACAACAUGUCUUCAGAAUCUCCAAAAGAGCAGAGAGCUAAAAAGGCCGAGGCCAAUGGAAUUCAAUAUUCUCCAUUUUUAUUAUAGAUCUGUGUAGAAUGGCACAAGUUUAUCCACCAUUCAGAAAUCCACAAGAGAAGGUAUAAAUUCUUCUCUUCUCAGAGCAGAUCUCUACAGCAAGAAAAAAAAAAAAAAUCAGCAGUAAGUACUGCUGAGGCAUUUUCAGACAGCUAAUAACUCCCUCCAGGGCUGCCUAGGUCCAAUUUGGAAUCUGAGCUAACAAUUGUAUCACCUCCCUGUCUCAAUUGCUUGCUGGGAAAAAACCAGCUAUGCUUCACUGCAAAUGUAAGUAAUAAAGGAUGGUAAGAUCUUUAAGCCUUAGGGCUAAAAGAUCUUUGGUUUUUAAAAAGAUUCUUCAUCUGCUUUUCUAGGAGGGAAAAAUCUUUACAAUUACGCAUUUAAAAAAAGAAUCUGCUCUGGUAUAGUUUAGAAAUCAAAAGUGUACAUUCCUCAAUAUUGUCAAUAUCAUUAGCUUACUGUAAAAUGAGGCAAU
Long non-coding RNA from Grus americana (Whooping crane), 3557 nucleotides. RefSeq lists it as uncharacterized. The transcript is spliced from 3 exons. The record is from RefSeq and is a predicted model, not a curated record. Lineage: Eukaryota; Metazoa; Chordata; Aves; Gruiformes; Gruidae.